UGAUUUAUUAUUUGGCAUGAUAUGAAUAUGAUUCUGUGAUAAAUAUGCUGAUGAUGUAUGAUGGUAUGCAUAAUGCUGUGAAUGUAUCUGUUAUGUAUGCAAUUGUGAAUGGACUGUUUAUGGCUUAGAGGGUGAGCAUAUGUCCAUUGUGGAUUGUUGUUGAUGUUGCAUGCUAGGUGAUUUAGCGUGCAUAGUAUGGCCUUUAUGGUGGUAGCUAAUUCCCAUGGUGAGGAAUUAGUGAGUGAGUUAUUGUGGAUUGUUG
Molecule: long non-coding RNA, 262 nt
Filed under: Lathyrus oleraceus (garden pea)
Lineage: Eukaryota; Viridiplantae; Streptophyta; Magnoliopsida; Fabales; Fabaceae
Description: Pisum sativum (pea) long non-coding RNA (PSAT_LNC009519)
Source: RNAcentral